GAUCCUGGCUCAGGACGAACGCUGGCGGCGCGCCUAACACAUGCAAGUCGAACGAGAGGAUGAGGAGCUUGCUCUUCAAAUCGAGUGGCGAACGGGUGAGUAACGCGUGAGGAACCUGCCUCAAAGAGGGGACAACAGUUGGAACGACUGCUAAUACCGCAUAAGCCCACGGCUCGGCAUCGAGCAGAGGGAAAGGAGUGAUCCGCUUUGAGAUGGCCUCGCGUCCGAUUAG
Molecule: ribosomal RNA, 232 nt
Filed under: uncultured bacterium
Lineage: Bacteria
Description: partial 16S ribosomal RNA
Rfam family: Bacterial small subunit ribosomal RNA
Source: RNAcentral